RNAcentral lists this ribosomal RNA (2866 nucleotides) under Brassica oleracea (wild cabbage). RNAcentral's name for it is "bacterial LSU rRNA". It matches the Rfam family "Bacterial large subunit ribosomal RNA". The record is from RNAcentral. Lineage: Eukaryota; Viridiplantae; Streptophyta; Magnoliopsida; Brassicales; Brassicaceae.
GUUCAAACAGGAAAGGCUGCAGUGGAUACCUAGGCCAGACGAGGAAGGAGAAAGGCAGCCAAUGGCAAAGAAAUGCUUCUAAAGGGAGUUGGUAGCAUAGAUCAAGACCAGAUAGAAGUUAACCUUUUGAACUGCUGCUGAAUCCCAUGGGCAGGCAGAGACAACCCUGGCAGGCAGAGCAUCUGGUAGCCAGAGGAAAAGAAAGCAAAAGCGAUUCCUGCAUGCCAGAGCAGAGGCUGAGACAGCCCUAAACCAGUAGAAAAACAGACUGCUGAAACCAUAAAACAUCCGUGCUGCUAGGCGAAGCGGUGGAGUCUCACCCUGAAUGGCGAGUCCAGUAGCCAAGCACUCUGGCUGUCUCUGACCAAGUGGCAUGGGGCACGUGGGUCAGUAUGAAUCAAGCAGGACCACUGCAAGGCUUAAUCUCUGGGUGACCGUGUGAAGUAGUACCGUGGGGGAAGGGUGAAAGAACCCCCAUCGGGGAGUGAAAUAGAACAUGAGCCGUAAUGAAAGCUCCCCAAGCAGGUGGGAGGGCCUGGGCUCUGACCAUGAAGAAUAGGCAGCGCUCAUAAAAUUAAGCGGUUAAGGGAACCCCGGAAUGCAUGGCAGAAAGCCAGUGCUUAGGAGCCAUUGUCCUCCUUGGACCCAGACCUGAGGUGAUCUAUCCCUACUGACCAGGAUGAAGCUUGGCCUAAAUGGAGUCAGAACCGACUGAUGUUGAAAAAUCAGCAGAUGAGUUGUAGUUAGAAGGGUGAAAUGCCACUCAGACAAGAGCUAGCUGGAUUUCACCCAAAGAAUGCGUUGAGCGCAGCAGUUGACUGGACAUCUGAGAGUAAAAGCACUGUUUCAGUGCAGGCCACGAGCAGUGAUACAAAAUCGAGACAAACUCUGAAUACUAGAUAUGACCUCAAAAUAACUGGGGUCCAAAGUCAGCCCAGUGAGACUGACGGUGAGGAUAAACUUCAUCGUCAGGAAACAACCCGGAUCAUGGCUAAGCCCCUAAAUGACGCUCAGUGAUAAAGGGAGUGUAGGGGUGCAGAGACAGCCAGGAGGUUUGCCUGAAGCCACCCCGCCAUGAAAAAUGCGUAACCAAGCUCACUGAUCAGGCGCUCUUGCAUAGAAGAUGAACAGGACUAAAGCGAUCUGCCGAAGCUGUGGGAUGUCCAAAAUGCAUCUGUGAGGGCGUUCCGCCUUAGGAAACAACCCGCGAGGCAGCUGGUGGACAAGCGGGAAGCGAGAAUGUCAGCAACAUUGUUGAAAUCCAAUGCCCGAAAACCAAGGGUUCCUCCGCAGGUUCGUCCACGGAGGGUAGUCAGGGGCCUAAGAUCCAGGCCGAAGGCGUAGUCGAUGGACAGCGGGUGAAUGUUCCUAUACUACCCUUGUUGGUCCCGGACGGACAGAGGCUAGGUUGUAGAUGGUUAUCGGUUUAAGAACAUAGAGGUGUCCUGUUUUUUUUCGGGUAAGAGAGGGUGAGAAAAAUGCCAGAGCCAAUGUUCAGUACCAGGCUACUGCGCUGGUAACCGGCAUACUCUCUCCAGGAAGAAGCUCAGACGACCUUCAGCAAAGGGUACCUGUACGAGAACUAAAGCCACAGGUGGUGGUAAGAAAUGCACCUAGGGGCGCGGAGACAACUCUCUAGGAACUCUAGCAAAAUGGCCCCGUAACUUCAGGAGAGAUUUGCCUCCUCUAGGGGUCGCAGUGAUAGGCCCGGGCGACUGUUGCAAAAACACAGGUCUCCGCAAAGUCCCAGUAAAUGCAUGUUGGGGCUGACGCCUGCCAGUGCCAGAAGGUCAAAGGAAGUUGGUGACCUGAUUGGGGGAAUGACCGGCGACCAGAGCCCAGUGAGCAGCGGCGCCAACUAUAGUCCUAAGGUGUAGAAAUUCCUUGUCAGGUAAGUUUUCAUGCACAAAGGCGUAACGAUCUAGGCACUAUCUCAGGAGAAGAAACAGUGAAAUAGAAUAGACAUCAUGAAGAUGCAGACUACCUGCACCUGGACAGAAAGACCUGAAACUUCACUGUUCCCUGGGAUUGGCUUUGUGACUUUCCUGCUUAGGUGGAAGGCAGAAAGGCCUCCUUCAGAGGCCCCAGCAGCCAUCAGUGAAUACCACUCUGGGAAGAGCUAUAAUUCCCCUAACCUUGUAUGGGACCUACGGGCAGGACAGUCUCAGGUAGACAGUUUCUAUGGGGCGUGGAGGCCUCCCCAAAAGAUGGCGGAGGCCUCCAAAAGGUUUCCCGGAAACCGGACGGUGGCCCUCGAGUGCAAAAGGCAGGGAGCUUGCUGCAAGACCCCCGUCGAGCAGGGACGAAAAGUCGGCCUUGAUGAUCCGACAGUGCCGGUGGAAAGAGGGCUCAGCAGAUCAAAAAGUUAAAGUUACUCUACGGGAUAACAAGGCUGAUCUUCCCAAACUCCAUCUGACAGGAAGGUUUGGCACCUCGAUGGCUCUUCAUUACCUAGAGGCUAUCAUAUGUUCAAAGGUUGGGCUAUUCCUUACAUUAAAGCAGUACAUGAGCUGGGUUCAGAACAUCGUGAGACAGUUCAGUCCAUAUCCCGGUGUGGGCGUUAGAGCAUUGAGAGGACCUUUCCUAGUGCAGGAGACCGGGGAAGGACGCACCUCUGGUGUACAGUUAUCGAUGCCCACAUUAAGCUGGUAGCCAGAGUGCGGAGCGAGAUAACUUGCUGAAAGCAUCUAGUAGUAAGCCCACCCCAAGAUAUGGAGUGCUCUCUAUUCCGUGACUUCCCAGAACCUCCGGCCAGCUGUGCCGACACAGCGGGUUCCUCCGCCCCUGCGAAAGAUGACAGAGUUUGAGAUUCAAGAGAGAGUCACGGCAGAGACAGGCCGUUUAUCAUUACGAUGGUGUCAAGUGG